Molecule: long non-coding RNA, 1554 nt
Organism: Clupea harengus (Atlantic herring)
Lineage: Eukaryota; Metazoa; Chordata; Actinopteri; Clupeiformes; Clupeidae
Source: Ensembl
UAGCCUGAAGCCUGAAAUUCAGUUUCAUUCUUCGUAUUAUUGGUGCCUGCCUGAGGAAGAAGUAACAAGGUUCAGUAAGGCUUUGCCCAACAGAAUAAAGAAUGGUGAAAGUAUUUUUCGUCCUUGCUGGAAACACUCAGAACACCCAGGCACAGUUUUGGCAGCGCCUGGUCAGAAGAGGUACCAAUGCGGUGAAAGUGGCCAACAUUAGAGACUGUGAUGUGACCCUCACAUUCUGUCCAAUCGUCUCACGAGUUGGAACUGAUGUAGAGGCAGCCGUCCAGCUGAUCCCAACAACUAGACCUGGAGUCCUGGUUUGACUGCACCCAACCUUUAACCCAGAGGAAAUCGUCCCAGACGCCAGCAGAUUUGUACGCCGUGCUGACAUCCUAACUGUCAACUGCUUGUUCCACGAGAGCGAGCUACUGAACAGUGACUGCAAUGACAAAGCGUGUGAAAGUGUUUCCCGUUACUUAAUGCACUUCCAGAGGGGAACUGCCUCUCAAAGCCCAUACCAUCAUGUUGUCUACGAUCUUCCUUGUCCAACUCAGAAUCAAAACCAUGGUUGCCUUUAUUCAAUAUCACCAAAACUUCACAAGUAUCGCGUACCGCUGAUAGCUUGCAUAGUAUUAUUUUUUAUAUCGAUUUUCAUCUGGAUUAUGACAUUGCUCUAAAACAAGCGCCAUUAAGGACGUCUCAUUUUGUUAAAUUCUCUCAGAGGACCUGAGGAAUGAGAUGAGAUGUGAAGAAACAGUGGACCGUUUCAAUUGGAAUGCCUGACAUAUGGUCAGAGGUGGAUUCUUCCCUCCUCUUUACAUCUGUCAACCUACAAUUUAAAAUAACAUGUAGUGGUUUAUGAACAAAAAUAAAAUAUUAGUCAAACCAAGAAAACAUCUUCAUACUCUUGAAUCAUACUCAAAUAUGGCAACUUUAACAACACAUACACGAUUGUGUUGCCUACAGGAUUGUGUUUAAAAAAUAAUAUACUUAUACAUAUGCCUGUUGUGCUACUAACUUGUGAGAAGGUGAAUUCUCCCCCUCCUAACCGUGGCAAAAAGGGAUGGUGCCCUUUAAGACUUUUGGACUCCCCCACCAUAAUGGUUGGGUCUGGGCUCCCCUGCUUCCAUGGUGGACCUAAUUAAGCCCAAGUGGCUGUGCCCUAUUUAAAGGCUGCCUCAUUUGUAGAGAGGGAGAGACUGUUUGUGAGAGGCAUGAGACCACUGACAGAGAGGUAUGAAGAUAAAACACUUUCCUUUUUACCGGUGUGAAGGAAGGGUUUUGUGUCUAGUUGUGUGGAUACUGUGUCUUUGUGCCUUGUCUUUGUGUCUUGUAUAUUGUGCCUGUUUUGGUGUGCUUGUUUUGUGUGCUUUGUUUGGUACGGCUAGCUAUGUACUUAGCUUCGGGCUGAGUGCCGGGGCCUAGCUUGGGCCUGGAGAGGGUGCCGAUAUUUGGGCCUAAUCGGCCAAGCAGGUGCCUAGGGUUACUUAAGUCCCGGUAAGUACGGCCUGUAUCGGUUAUCUGUUUGAUUUAUAUGUGUUUAUGUUGUGUGCACGG